This 440-nucleotide ribosomal RNA is filed under the name uncultured bacterium. RNAcentral describes it as "partial 16S ribosomal RNA". It matches the Rfam family "Bacterial small subunit ribosomal RNA", at positions 338 to 795 of the family's 1533-position model. The record is from RNAcentral.
CCUACGGGAGGCAGCAGUGGGGAAUAUUGCACAAUGGGGGAAACCCUGAUGCAGCGACGCCGCGUGAGUGAAGAAGUAAUUCGUUAUGUAAAGCUCUAUCAGCAGGGAAGAAAAUGACGGUACCUGAGUAAGAAGCCCCGGCUAACUACGUGCCAGCAGCCGCGGUAAUACGUAGGGGGCAAGCGUUAUCCGGAUUUACUGGGUGUAAAGGGAGCGUACACGGCAGUGCAAGUCUGGAGUGAAAGGCUGGGGCUCAACACCCGGACUGCUCUGGAAACUGUACGGCUGGAGUGCAGGAGAGGUAAGUGGAAUUCCUAGUGUAGCGGUGAAAUGCGUAGAUAUUAGGAGGAACACCAGUGGCGAAGGCGGCUUACUGGACUGUAACUGACGUUGAGGCUCGAAGGCGUGGGGAGCAAACAGGAUUAGAUACCCUUGUAGUC